UGCCGGGUAGUGUAAUGGUAGCACAAGGGACUUUGAAUCCCUUGGUCUAGGUUCGAAUCCUAGCCUGGCAG
Molecule: transfer RNA, 71 nt
Filed under: Chloroflexota bacterium
Lineage: Bacteria; Bacillati; Chloroflexota
Description: Chloroflexi bacterium tRNA-Gln
Rfam family: tRNA
About the family: Transfer RNA (tRNA) molecules are approximately 80 nucleotides in length. Their secondary structure includes four short double-helical elements and three loops (D, anti-codon, and T loops). Further hydrogen bonds mediate the characteristic L-shaped molecular structure. tRNAs have two regions of fundamental functional importance: the anti-codon, which is responsible for specific mRNA codon recognition, and the 3' end, to which the tRNAs corresponding amino acid is attached (by aminoacyl-tRNA synthetases). tRNAs cope with the degeneracy of the genetic code in two manners: having more than one tRNA (with a specific anti-codon) for a particular amino acid; and 'wobble' base-pairing, i.e. permitting non-standard base-pairing at the 3rd anti-codon position.
Source: RNAcentral